This is a non-coding RNA of Microcebus murinus (gray mouse lemur), 1447 nucleotides long. Lineage: Eukaryota; Metazoa; Chordata; Mammalia; Primates; Cheirogaleidae. The record is from RefSeq and is a predicted model, not a curated record.
GAGACGCCCCGCCCCCUUUCACCGGAGAGGGUUCCCAGUCCCCAGUCCCUCGCCACGCCCCGGCGUCAGGGUGCCUGUUGGGCCGCAGCCCAGGGGCGGAGCGGCGCCUGCUCAGCUCCACCCUGAAGUUGAGCCUCGACAACCCCACCUCUUUCGACAUCACGCCUGCGCAGUCAUCCCGCGACACCGCCCAGGCCCUAUGCGCGUGCGCACACCCGGCGUUCCCGUGAGUCAGUGCGAGGCGCGGGAGGCGCGGAGAGUGGUGUCGUCCUGCCUUUGCCUGUGAAGCGAGCAGUGGGAUCUUCCUGAGGAGGAAUAAUAGAUUGUAAAAGUAUUUUUUCCCUUCUCAGUGGACUUAAUGUGAAACUUAGUUUUGUUUCUGUUUGGAUUUACUUUCUAAAAAUCAACACCAUAAACCCGUAUCAGAUAUUUAAAAAUAGAGUAAACCAUGAGUUGUGGAAACGAGUUUGUGGGAACAUUAAAAAAAAUCGGUUAUCCUAAAGCUGAUAGUCUUAAUGGAGAAGAUUUUGACUGGUUGUUUGAGACUGUUGAAGAUGAAUUAUUUUUGAAGUGGUUUUGUGGGAAUGUGAAUGAACAGAAUAUAUUGUCUGAAAAAGAAUUGGAAGCUUUUAGCAUUCUUCAAAAAUCAGGCAAACCCAUCCUAGAAGGGGCGGCAUUGGAUGAAGUUCUGAAGACCUGUAAAACUUCUGAUUUGAAGACACCUCGACUAGGUGACAAAGAGCUGGAGAAAUUAGAGAGUGAGGUUCAAACUCUGCAGAAAUUAAAGAACCUAAAAAUUCAGCGACGUAACAAAUGCCAAUUGAUGGCUUCAGUCACGAGCCACAGAUCUCUGAGGUUAAAUGCUAAAGAAGCAGCCACUAAGAAGCUGAAGCAGAGUCAAGGAAUUCUAAAUGCAAUGAAUGCUAAGAUCAAUAAUGAACUUCAAGCUCUUACUGAUGGAGUUACAAAGUUGAUGAUGUUCUUCAGACAAUCUAAUUUGGGUCAAGGGACAAAUCCACUGGUGUUUUUAUCUCAGUUUUCUUUGGAAAAGUAUCUAAGCCAGGAAGAGCAAAGCACAGCAGCGUUAACCUUAUAUACCAAAAAGCAGUUCUUUCAGGGUAUACAUGAAGUAGUUGAAAGUUCAAAUGAAGAAAAUUUUCAACUUUUAGAUAUACAAGCACCAUCUAUUUGUGAUAAUCAAGAAAUUCUUGAGGAGAGACGACUAGAGAUGGUUAGGCUGCAGCUAGCAUACAUUUGUGCUCAACAUCAGUUAAUUCACUUGAAAGCAAGUAAUUUGAGCAUGAACCCAGGGGCGGAGCGGCGCCUGCUCAGCUCCACCCUGAAGUUGAGCCUCGACAACCCCACCUCUUUCGACAUCACGCCUGCGCAGUCAUCCCGCGACACCGCCCAGGCCCUAUGCGCGUGCGCACACCCGGCGUUCCCGUGA